RNAcentral lists this long non-coding RNA (512 nucleotides) under Mus caroli (Ryukyu mouse). RNAcentral describes it as "ubiquitin specific peptidase 46, opposite strand 1 (MGP_CAROLIEiJ_G0003692.1)". Lineage: Eukaryota; Metazoa; Chordata; Mammalia; Rodentia; Muridae. The record is from RNAcentral.
UGGAGUACUUAUCAGGAGUACUGACUGGACUGGGCUGUCCAUUCACACAGGAAUCUGAUGGAUCUCAAAGUCCAGUUUGGGAGCUAUGAUGUUAUCUCCAUUGUCAACUUCACCGGAUUUAGAGGAUGUCCGCAAUAGUGUUUAGCAAAUAAUUUAAGAACUCGUGAGCAUCCUGCUGCAUGUAGUUAUCAAAGAGAUCUGGAAAGGAGAAGGUCAUCAUUUCACACUCUGCGUCUUCAAGAGCGAACAGACGUUUUUAGCUUUGCGCGACAAGCUUCAGUAACGAUAUCCAAAGACUGGGCAGGCACGGCAUAGAAUCUCUACUGUGCAAUUACAAGAGAGUAACUUCCCAGAGAAUCAUUUCUUUCCAUUUCCUACCACCCACCAUAAACUAAUAUCCCCUAGCUCCCUCCAGUCAUGUACAACAAUGAUCCAAAGUUUAACUCAUUCUAGAAAAGAACCAAAAUUACGAGACAAAAACCUUGAUUAAAUAGCUAUUGGUUUUGCCUGCA